CACUAGAGACCCACAUUUUAUGAACAAUAUAUGCUCUCGAGUAUGUAGAUGCCUACAUCCAUGCUUGCUGAUGCACACAUAUGUACUGUAUUAUAUUGUACAUGAAUACCAUACGCACAUGUAUAUAACCACAGCUAAAAUCAGGAUACAAUUGGAUGCCACAGAAACAAGUAAAAGUUGUAUUUGCCUAAUGCCAUCGCAGCGGAGAUCUUUGGCUUUCUGGGUUGUAAAGCCCAUGCCUUGGUAGAUUUUUAGAGUGACUACCAAAAGAGGUAGUUUCUUCACAGCUUGAUAGGUCAACAAUUUAGAUACCGUGAAAAGAAAGGGGGGAACAACCGCAGUGAUGGGAAAAUUACCUCGCUAUGUAAGAAAAUGGAUGGAUGUGGGCGUUUUAAGAAAACAGCACAUAGCAAAGGUGAGCACAUUUUACAACUUUCGGACUUAAAACCAAUGAAGUUAUUCCAUUCAAAAAUAACUUCGCGCUGACUGUCUAGAAGUAAAGAAUAAAGUAUAAACAAACAUCAAAGAAACUUAUGACUUUAAGUCGUCAGAAAAGAAAAUAAAAACAUGUAAAUGUAUCUUGAUGCUAUUUAGCCACAUCUUUCAAAUCAAACAAAUAUCCAGAGACUAGGUCGUUGCUUGGUAAUAUCUAAAUUUAGAUAUUUUCGUCAAUUUGAAAGCCACACUACUUUUUGGUUUCAGAACAAUCAACUAUAAUUGCUCCCCAAUAGUUUUGAAAUGAACAAAUUAUCAAUGCCAUAUAGCUCAACGAUAGAAACAUAGACUUUCUUUCAAAAUGCACGGAGAAAAAAUAUAUAUAAAUUCAUAAUAAAAGGCUUCGCAUAACCAAGAUAAAUAACAACAUAAUCGGACUUUCACUUUAAAAAAAAAAAAACCGAGAAUUUUUAAGUUCAAAAACUGACAAAAAUACAACCAUCCAAAGAAGAUAAUCCCAAACAACAGGGUUGCCGAGGAAAAAUAGCAAAGAGAGUCGCGAUACAGAAGAGAAAACAUCAAUUUGCACCAAAAACAAAAACGCAAGGAAUAGGAGAUCAGCGAUUACCUCGAGCCGAAACUUCGCAACGACAGAAGAAAGAAACCAGAUCCCAACCAAACGCUCCUCAGACUCAAAUCUCACCACCAAGAUCUAAUCCAGAAAAAAGUCCAGAGAACUCCAGACGUUGGAUAAUAAAACAGACAGAAGACACCGAAAGAAAAAAACCUAGAGGAACCGUAUCGCCGCCAUGCCCGAAAGCUAUUGCUGACUCAGAUUACCACGCCGACUCCACUUCUCGAGAUUUUUCAGGCGAUGAGAGCAAGAACCGCCAUGGAAGGAGGUGGCCGAGGGGAUCAAGUUUGCGAACCUGUGGAAGAACUCUCCGAGCACCGAAGGCAUGGUCGAUGCUCGCAGAGGAUAAACCCUAGCCAGAGAUCCAAUGAGCCCAAAUCCGAUGCUCCUUUUAGCCGAAUCAGCCCAUAAACAGAAGAUAUCGGGAAAUCUGAGGGAAAAUAAAGCGACGGCGAGCACCUUUGAUCGGAAGAGCAGAGGAAAGCAAAUGAUGGCGAGGAAGUGGGAUAGGAAGGGGAUUUAAGAGAGGAUUGGACGCUUGGCCGAGGCACCGGCAAAUGGCGGUCGGUAGUCUUAUUCAAACCGACACGUGGCUCUGGAAGGUCCGUUGCUCGCUCGACG
RNAcentral lists this long non-coding RNA (1690 nucleotides) under Elaeis guineensis (African oil palm). Its description in RNAcentral is "long non-coding RNA (EGUI_LNC075877)". The record is from RNAcentral. Lineage: Eukaryota; Viridiplantae; Streptophyta; Magnoliopsida; Arecales; Arecaceae.